GACGAACGCUGGCGGCGUGCUUAACACAUGCAAGUCGAACGGGCCUUGUCCCCUUUUUUUUUGGGGGUGGGGUUAGUGGCGAACGGGUGAGUAACACGUGAGUAACCUGCCCCUCACUUCUGGAUAACCGCUUGAAAGGGUGGCUAAUACGGGGUGCUCUGGCCUGCUCGCAUGGGUGGGUUUGGAAAGAUUCGACCGGUUUUGGUUGUUUUGGGGGGGGAUGGGCUCGCGGCCUAUCAGCUUGUUGGUGGGGUGAUGGCCUGCCAAGGCUUUGACGGGUAGCCGGCCUGAGAGGGUGGGCGGUCACACUGGGACUGAGACACGGCCCAGACUCCUACGGGAGGCAGCAGUGGGGAAUAUUGCACAAUGGGCGCAAGCCUGAUGCAGCGACGCCGCGUGAGGGAUGGAGGCCUUCGGGUUGUGAACCUCUUUCGCCAGUGAAGAAGGUCCUGCUCUUUGUGGUGGGGUUGACGGUAGCUGGGUUAAUGAAGCGCCGGCUAACUACGUG
Molecule: ribosomal RNA, 508 nt
Filed under: uncultured bacterium
Lineage: Bacteria
Description: partial 16S ribosomal RNA
Rfam family: Bacterial small subunit ribosomal RNA
Source: RNAcentral